This 411-nucleotide ribosomal RNA is filed under the name uncultured bacterium. RNAcentral describes it as "bacterial SSU rRNA". It matches the Rfam family "Bacterial small subunit ribosomal RNA", at positions 32 to 434 of the family's 1533-position model. The record is from RNAcentral.
AAUCAACGCUGGCGGCGUGCCUCAGACAUGCAAGUCGAACGAUUAAAGCUCUCUUCGGAGAGUGCAUAGAGUGGCGCACGGGUGAGUAACACGUAAGUAAUCUACCUUCGAGUGGGGAAUAACGUCCGGAACGGACGCUAAUACCGCAUAAUGCAGCGGCAUCGCAAGAUGACAGUUGUUAAAGGAGCAAUUCGCUUGAAGAGGAGCUUGCGGCAGAUUAGCUAGUUGGUAAGGUAAUGGCUUACCAAGCUACGAUCUGUAACCGGUCUAAGAGGACGGUCGGUCACACUGACACUGAAUAACGGGUCAGACUCCUACGGGAGGCAGCAGUCGGGAAUUUUGGGUCAAUGGGCGAAAGCCUGACCCAGCAACGCCGCGUGAAGGAUGAAGUAUUUCGGUAUGUAAACUUCG